RNAcentral lists this ribosomal RNA (401 nucleotides) under uncultured bacterium. RNAcentral describes it as "partial 16S ribosomal RNA". It matches the Rfam family "Archaeal small subunit ribosomal RNA", at positions 473 to 873 of the family's 1478-position model. The record is from RNAcentral.
ACACCGGCGGCCCGAGUGGUGAUCGUGAUUAUUGGGUCUAAAGGGUCCGUAGCCGGUUUGGUCAGUCCUCCGGGAAAUCUGAUAGCUCAACUAUUAGGCUUUCGGGGGAUACUGCCAGACUUGGAACCGGGAGAGGUAAGAGGUACUACAGGGGUAGGAGUGAAAUCUUGUAAUCCCUGUGGGACCACCUGUGGCGAAGGCGUCUUACCAGAACGGGUUCGACGGUGAGGGACGAAAGCUGGGGGCACGAACCGGAUUAGAUACCCGGGUAGUCCCAGCCGUAAACGAUGCUCGCUAGGUGUCAGGCAUGGCGCGACCGUGUCUGGUGCCGCAGGGAAGCCGUGAAGCGAGCCACCUGGGAAGUACGGCCGCAAGGCUGAAACUCAAAUGAAUUGACGGGG